This 472-nucleotide ribosomal RNA is filed under the name uncultured bacterium. RNAcentral's name for it is "bacterial SSU rRNA". It matches the Rfam family "Bacterial small subunit ribosomal RNA", at positions 28 to 509 of the family's 1533-position model. The record is from RNAcentral.
GAUGAACGCUGGCGGCGUGCUUAACACAUGCAAGUCGAACGAAGACAUCUGAGUGCUUGCACUUGGAUGGACUGAGUGGCGGACGGGUGAGUAACGCGUGGGUAACCUGCCUUAUACAGGGGGAUAACAGUUGGAAACGACUGCUAAUACCGCAUAAGCGCACGGUAUCGCAUGAUACAGUGUGAAAAACUCCGGUGGUAUAAGAUGGACCCGCGUCUGAUUAGCUUGUUGGUGAGGUAACGGCCCACCAAGACGACGAUCAGUAGCCGGCCUGAGAGGGUGAACGGCCACAUUGGGACUGAGACACGGCCCAAACUCCUACGGGAGGCAGCAGUGGGGAAUAUUGCACAAUGGGGGAAACCCUGAUGCAGCGACGCCGCGUGAGUGAUGAAGUAUUUCGGUAUGUAAAACUCUAUCAGCAGGGAAGAUAAAUGACGGUACCUGACUAAGAAGCACCGGCUAAAUACGUGCC